UUGGGCCCCUCCCGCGGCAUAUGGAGGUUCCCAGGCGAGGGGUUGAAUCACAGCCGUAGCCAGAGCCACAGCAACGCGGGAUCCGAGCCGCAUCUGCAACCCACACCACAGCUCACGGCAACGCCGGAUCGUUAACCCACUGAGCAAGGGCAGGGACCGAACCCGAAACCUCAUGGCUCCUAGUCAGAUUCGUUAACCACUGCGCCACGACGGGAACUCCAAGAUACCUUUAUUCAUUGAAUCCUUAAAACUAGUCCAUAAAGUAGGUUGUAUUUUCAGUAACACAUUCAAAGUCAGACUGUAAACCAGGGUUCAAACCCAGGCAGCCUGGUUCUAGAAUUAGUGUUUUUCACACCACAUUGAGUUGCCUCAUAAGGGAAGAUUAUAAAAGAAAAAUUUAAAAAGCCAUCAGAUAAUUGCCUGCAAAUUGAAGAGAUCUCAGGAAGGAAAUAAGGCUCUACUUUUGGAGAGUUCCCCAAAGACAGAUAAUAAGUCUUCUGGCCCACAAACAGGCACGCUAAUGAACUCAGUAAUGGCCUAAUUUAGGCUUUCACCAAGGCAGUAGGAAGAUGAGAGAGGUCAGGUCUGGCAACAAUACAGGGAGUCACAUUCAGAAAUGUAAGUGGAAAGAAAAGAAGUUUCCUAUCUCUGGUCUUGAGAAAAGCCACACCCAUUUCGUUUAAGGUCAAGUCCUCACCUCUAGGGUUGGCUUUGUGUCACCUCUCUUUACCCUGCCAGGAAAGCCGGACUUCUCUUAUUUUCCCCAGGGCAAUCUAAACCAGAGGGGGAGUGGAGUAAAAUGCUUUUUUGGUCUUUGGAACCCAACAGACCUGGGUUCAAAUUUUUCUGUCUGCGCUUACUUGAGGACUUAUAACCUAGCCACUGGUAAACCCUAUUAUUUACUUGUCUGUAAGAUGGAACUUUUGGUAGCACCCACCUCAGGUGACAAAGGAUAAUCCAGCAGAGCUGUUUGCACAGUGCGUGGCACUCAGUAAGAGCUUGGCCUGGGUUUUAGAAGCAACACUCCCAAAUGCUUCCAUUUCUAGUCUGGUCCAAUCAGAGACUCCACUCUCCUGCCUCCUGCUAGAGUCAUCCCUCUGAACUGAGCCACACGCCAUCACUCCUCUGCUCACAGACCCUCAGUAGCUCCCAGGACUUCGAAAAGAACAUUUCAACUCUUUCUGCUGACAAUCGAUUUGCUGCACCUCCCCCUCCAGCUGCCUGCACUCCUAGUGCCCUCUCACAUCCUGGGCUUCAGCAGCACUGAAAUGCCCGCUGCACCGCACGCCUGCCCCGUG
This 1298-nucleotide long non-coding RNA is filed under the name Sus scrofa (pig). RNAcentral's name for it is "lncRNA (ENSSSCG00015028389.1)". The record is from RNAcentral. Lineage: Eukaryota; Metazoa; Chordata; Mammalia; Artiodactyla; Suidae.